RNAcentral lists this long non-coding RNA (543 nucleotides) under Triticum aestivum (bread wheat). Its description in RNAcentral is "long non-coding RNA (TAES_LNC011655)". Lineage: Eukaryota; Viridiplantae; Streptophyta; Magnoliopsida; Poales; Poaceae. The record is from RNAcentral.
UGCAGGUUUUCUUGUCGAACUGCUACUGAAUAAUGGCACAACAUGAUUUCUGUGUGCUCUUGUAUAUACACACAACAUGCGAAGCAUCAAUCUUCAUGUACAUGAACUUCUAUCAUUAAUAUUUUCGAACCUUUUUUGUGUUCUAUGUAAAAUGAUUUUUCUACUGCCAAUAGUUAUACACACACAGAAGCACUAACCGAAGGUGAACUCUUCAAGAAAAUAUUCAGCUUUGGUCUGAAUUUCCAAAAUGACGCCGAUGAGAUGGUUGUUCAGAGAUUUGUUUCCUCUGCCUGCCACUUGAGAGAGAUGGAGUGAUAGAGAGGGCAGUGCUUCUUGCAUCUACAAAAAAUGGAGCAUGGCCAAAGAGGAUUUGGGAGAGAACUCAUGUUGGUGCUCUGCAGGAAGAAGCCAACAGUUAGUGAAGUUCAGAUCGGCCUCAUGGAUCAACACUGAGUAGAUCAACUUGACCUGCACACACGCUUGCGCCGGGUUGACUUUUUGUGCUGAUGGCAUCAUGGGAUGCCUGCGUGGGGACGAAUCGGG